UACGAGCCACUUGAAACUGAA
Molecule: microRNA, 21 nt
Filed under: Arabidopsis thaliana (thale cress)
Lineage: Eukaryota; Viridiplantae; Streptophyta; Magnoliopsida; Brassicales; Brassicaceae
Description: ath-miR841a-5p
Gene: ath-miR841a-5p
Source: miRBase by way of RNAcentral